Molecule: RNA transcript, 7043 nt
Organism: Anopheles moucheti
Lineage: Eukaryota; Metazoa; Arthropoda; Insecta; Diptera; Culicidae
Gene name: prominin-like protein
Exons: 16
Source: RefSeq, a predicted model, not a curated record
UUGAAUGAAAAGUGCACCAGUAAGUGCAGGCGUGUAGAAAAGCAUAAUCUGCAUCCGGUGAAUAUGUGAAGUGCGUUUUUAGCUUUUUCACUAGCGGAGGUCCAUCCAUUCUUUUGGGCUUCUUUGUUUAGUGUGUGCAGAGGUGUGAGAGCGAGCGAAAAGCUGUACAAAGAUACAGAGAAAGAGAGAGAAAGCUAGAGCGAGCGAGCAGUGCACAAAUACACCGCAAGAGAGCAGCGGAGUGCGUGAGAGCGAAAGAGCGAGAGAGGCGCUAGAUGUCUACGAAACAGAAGAUACACUAGCAGAAGGGAAAACAGCGAACAGCAGCCAACGACCGCGUGUUGCACUUAUUCCAAGGUUCGUCACUGCUGAGGAGAAUCAUCGCGAGUGUGAAGAACAUUCAUCUGCUUCAACGUUCCCACCGACAGCCGGAAGUUGCUACCUUCGCACGGUGAACCUUUUGCCGGGCUCGCCGUAUCCUUCCAUCCACUGCCUCGUAACGUAACCAAAGUGGCCAAAGUAAGAGUCUGCCAUCGAACCGAUACCUAAACCGUGAACACACUCUGCCAAUCCACCGCGGAAGCUGGACAACCACAGACGUGUUGUGAGGGGUCGGUGUAUUGCACAACCGGCGUGUAGUGGUAUCCAUCCAGCAGCCAUCAUUUAAUGCCAACAUCCCGAACUCCAACCAUGGCGCCGGUGGCCAUGGCCUCUUCCACGGGCCUUUCCCGACGACAGAUGCUUGGUGUCAUCCUAUUGCUCAUCCUGCCUAGUGCUUUGGUAGUGGUAGUGCAUGCGGAACCGAUCCUGAAGAUCCGCACGACUGAGUUUACCCGUUACAAUGAAGUGAUUGAAUAUCAAAGCUCAAAGUCGUACAAUCCGCGCGGUAUGGCACCGCUGUACGAAAUCACUAAUCACAUCAUCGAUCUGUUCGUCGAUGAAUAUCCCAUUCCGGAUGGUUACAUCACCGUACAGGAAGGCAACAUUGCUGCAGGACCAAACGUUGCGGACAAUAACUGGGGUCCGUUGCUGAAACAAUACUGGGCGAUCUUGCUUGUGGCGGCACUAUGCAUCAUAAUGAUUGCGAUCAUGCCUAUCAUGGGUCUGUGUCUGUGUUGCUGCCGGUGCUUCGGCGGAUGUGGUGGACGAUCCCAGCCGUUCGACAAGAAACACGAUACUUGCCGUCGGGCAAUUUUGGGCUUCCUGUUGAUUUGUUCAACCUCAGCAUUGGUCUUUGGAGUGGUGGUUGCGUUUGUCACCAACAGUUAUAUGCAACAUGGGGUGGAAAACAUUACUACUUCCGCUCGGCAUGGUGUGCACGAUACUCGGCUGUACUUGAGAAGUACCUCGUCUCAUAUCGAUCAUGUGCUGAACAAGAACUACCAAGAACUGAACAACGAUCUCAAACAGAUGCUGAACGAUGCUUCCGGCACCAUAAUCAAACGGCUGGAGGAGCAAUCUAAGGCUGAGAAGUUAACGACGCUGUACCAAUUUGUCGAAGAUUUGCCAGGAAUUAGCAAAAAUUUGGAAAAGAUGAAACAGCUCACUAGCGAGUUACGGAUCACAGCAUCUCAGUUGAACGAUGGGCUUCGUGGUGUGAAGAGAGAACUGCUUACUUCGCUUAAUAAGUGCGGCACUCAGGAUUGUAUUAAAGUGAUGGAGGACUACAAGAUUGGACGCUUAAAUGUGAAUGGCAUCGACUACAACUCGAUACAAGACAGAUACUUCCCGAGGCUGCCGGAUUUAUCGGAAAUCAUCGAGAGCGUUAAGGAGCUGAUGGAUAGCAGCCUUGGAAGUGCCAUACGUAAAGGCGUCAAGCAGAUGGAACAGCUCAAGAGUACGCUCAACCAGACGGUUCUGGAAAAUAUUCCGAAAGUGCAGGCCGCUUCGGAUUCAACGGGAAAUGCAAUAAAAGACGUGUCGAACAUGCUCACUUCGCGACUAAACAAUGUUGGCGAUACCCUGGAUAACAAUUCAUACAAACAUCUGGACACGGCAGAUGAGUACAUACAGCAGUAUAGCAUCUACAGAUAUUAUGCCGGGCUGGGAAUCAGCUCGGUGCUAUUGCUGAUUUUGAUCUGCCUAGUGUUUGGGUUGUUGUGUGGAAUUUGUGGCAAACGUCCGGACGGUUAUGGAGAUGAUUGCUGCAAUAAGGGUGCUGGUGGAAGAUUCUUAAUUUUUGCCGUUGCCAUUAUCUUCCUUACCUUUUCUGUGAUCCUGGCGGUUGCUUUGGCUUCAUUCCUGGCAGGCACACUCGCGCGUCGUGCUGCCUGUGACUCGCUCCGUGAUCCGGCCAAUGAUCAGAUUGUCAGCUAUAUCGAUCAGUUUGUUGAUUUAAACCGCCUGUACUCAGAUUUGCGAGCACAGGCCGAACGCUCAAAACCCAAGCUGCCGGUCAGCGAUAAUAUGGAACAGAUAAGCAUCGGCCAGGUGAUUGUGGCCUGUCAACAAAAUGAAUCGAUCUACAAGGUACUGAAGUUGAACAACUUCGUCGACAUUGACACGAUUCGUGAUUUCCCGGAGCAGUACGGCAUUACACGCGAAUUGAAUGCGCUUACGCUGAAGAUUAAAAUAAAUCCGGUACAAAUUCUUACGCCCGAGGCAACCGAAGACAUUAAAGCAUUACAAGCGUCGAAGCUAAACGACUUCGAUGUGGAUAAAUUCACGGAUAAUCUAACAUACAACAUCACCGAGUACAAUCUGAAUGAGAUAGCCCAAAAGUUACGAGAUGUAGCAGACCGCGUUCCGCCCGGCAAAGAUAUGAACGACAUCAAAGUGAACCUAAAAAAUCAAGCUUUGCAUCUGUCUUCCUAUCAGACCAAUCUUGUUGAUCCGAUGAUUGUUUCUACAAAUGAGCUUAUUAAGCUCUCGACUACGUUGGACAGCAGCUUGAAGUUUGGGGAAAAAUCUUUCUCGGAUGCCAUCGACAAAUUCUUGACGCAGAUCAAAGAGGCUGAAAAUUACAUCAACAAACACGGCAUGACUUUCGUGCAGAAUAUCACCGAGGAGCUGGUGACUGGUUUUACCAACCAAAUUUAUGCGUACAUCAAGUUCGUGAUCGAUUCCACAGAGAACGAUAUUGGACUUUGUGGACCGAUGUACAACGUUUACGAAUCGGUGAUUGUUGCAUCGUGUGAUAGGAUCGUAGAUCCAUUUAACGGAUUCUGGGCUGGUGUAGUGUGGUGUUUGCUACUGUUCCUACCGUCAAUUAUUUUUGGCGUGAAGUUGUCGACAUUAUAUCAAAAAUCGGAUCCUUACCCUGGCCCGAUGGUGGAAUCUGAGUAUCUGUAUGAUGCCUACACCGAGCGUGAUAACAUUCCUCUUGCGAGUGGUCCAAAAAAUAAACGCCGCAAGAAGCAGGAUCGCCGCCGUGAAUCUCGUGAUCGUCGGGAAAUCUAUUACGAAGAGGGCAGCCCAUCGCACAGUCGUGACCCAAGGUACAACGAUAUGGCUCCGAAAUGCCACUAUAUGACCUGUGAUGGUCGGCCACGACCCGGGUUCGGUUUGCAGCAACAGCAACAAUACUAUCGUCCUAUUUCGUAAAGACUCUCUUGCGCUGUUACUAGCAAAAAACACUCGCAAUAAUAUAUUCCAAGACAGUCGACAUACACAGCAUAUAGCCUCUACAGUAAUCUAAAUUGGGAUGGCGCUCCGCCACGGUACCAGAAUCCUCCGAUGGCCCCACCAGCAGCAGAGUAUGAACGCCCACCGCCGUACUACUAUCCGGGCGCACCGAGUGAACAUGAGUAAAUGGGACAGUAGUGUGUGUGGUCAUCACUUUUGGGAGGAAGCAUCGGAACUGCUCUAAACACGACGUAAAAUAUACUCCGUGAAACAAGAAUUUGAUAUCGCUUCUUCUACAAAACACCCCGUGCCAACGCUCAGCUCAGACAGUUUGCGUGUCUGAACAUACGUUCGGAAAAUAUUCGUUGCAGCACUCGGUUGAAGGCGAGCUGAAUUGGACCACAUUGCGUUUUCUUUUUUACUAUGAUAAAUAAGUUCGCCAUCGACGAUAUGAAAGGAAUAGUUUUUCAUCGAUAAAACUAUAAUUGUUUGUAUUCUUAAACGAUGUACUGAACAUGUGUAGGACAUGCAGAGAGGCAUUAAACAAUAAGCAGCAAAAGUAUUGUUUAGAUCAGUGCGUCAACUUGAAUAGACAGAUUUUUGAUAUUCUUCUGUUGUGCUCCGCAUAGACAGUCAGCAAUGUAUUUCGUUUUUCCUUUGCAUUUCACCUCUACAAGCUGCAAACGAUUGGUAAAAGCAUUUAAAAGAUAGAAACAAUGUAUGCAUACAGUACAGUUGCCUAAAGCACCAGUUUCGAGUGCAGGAUCUGACGUGUGAGCAUCGGCAAGAUUAGAAAGCACCUAUCAUUACCUAUUGGCACAAUUUGAUACGUUUUUAACGGGCGUACAUGAACACACAGGAUUACCUUUGGUUACGUUCUGAGUGGGAACAUACCACAUUGCAGACAGUAGAUACAAUUCAUUCCAAAAAAAGACCAAGCGAUUCGAAUGAGAUCAAUCAAAACACAUAUGUCAUCCGCGAUAAGUACAAGCAUAUAUAUUUAAAUCGGUCAUCCUCUGCACACGGUCGUCUGUUUGCUCAACGAUGAUAAUUUUACAAAGGCAUAAUUGAACUAUUGAAAAUGUAAACUAGAUUAUGAUCGUGCGAUCAAUCAGUCUUUUGCCGGACAAGGAAAUCAUAUACUGCCCUUUACGAAAGAGAUUGAAUACUGAAUUCUUACAUUCUGUGCGUUUUUCUACACUAAUUGCGUUCAGUGGCGUUAACACAAACCACUCACUUUUCAAUGUAAUCGAUAGUGAAUUCCACCUCUAGAUCUCGUUUAGGAACGGUGGACAAUGCUCAGUUUAUAUCCGUAGGCAUAGCAUUAUCGGUAGCAAGGGGGAGCGUGUCUGAGUGGUGAGUGUGUGAGAAAAAUACGAAGAGGAGUGGAGGGGGCAGUACGGGUAAAGGAAGGGGGCCCAAAUGAAUUCAUCGAUUUUGUGGUUCCGAAUCGAUGGGAAUGCUGAGUUUAGGCUAUAGUGUUUCGCUUUGUACGAACAGGAACACGUUCCUUAGUUGCAUGCAAAUCGACCUGCCGGAUAAAAACAAAGCAAAGGGUCGAACAAUUGUGCUGGUAUAAUGCCCAAGGCUGAUUAGCUGUAUAUGUAAGUAAAAUUCCAAGCAUGGCGUUGAAAUUGCACAGAAAAGAACUGUUUGCAACGCAGCCCCAAAAAACAAGGCACUGAAAUUCAUUUCACAUCUUUGCCCUUUGGGAUGUUUAAUAUGUUGCUUUUUUAAUUUUUUCGUUCACUUCGUCCGGUGCUUAGAGCAGCGCUAAGCCAAAUGCACAGUUGAGUAGUUGAGUGGAUUGAAAAAGGAAGCCCAGAAUAUCCUUUAAAAGUAGCAGAAUCUCGCUUUUAGUUUGUAUGUUCGUGAUUUUAUACUGUUUUGCAUACAAAGCAUACACAUUUAAAUUUACUGCUGGAACCCUGAUUGCACCAGUGGAUUAAAUCUAUAGCUAUCGGUAUUGUCACCGAUGGCUUGUUGGUGUGUGGCUCCAAGGCUGAAUUUGCAAAUACGUGUGUGUGUUUUUUUUUUAAUAAUUCGAAUGCUCGUUUAGUUUAAUUUAGAAUAUUUAAAAAAAAAAAACGGAAACAGUGCAUUGUGAAUUCGUUAUUCUUUAGUAUAAUUUGUUGCACCUCAGUAGCUCUAUAUUGGUUUAUUAUUAGUUCGAGCAAUUUAGUUUUGUUUGGCAGCAAGUGAUGCGAUUGCUGCAGUGUUUGAACCAUAUUUAACGGUCGGGAGAAUUACGAUGGGCAAAUAGUGUGGAUCGUUUUACGCUAAAACAUACUGAAAGGAAGGGCAAAAAUAUCUACGAAAUUAUCGUGCUCAGCAAAUAGAAUUUUAUCACUGUGUUGAUUAAGUAAAUGAAAACAGCAAAUCUACAAUCUCACAUCCUCGUCCUUUUGAAUGCCAGUCGAAACCGUUUCGUUCGUUUCGCUUUCGUUGGCAGGAUUUUUGCCGGAGUGUGCGUGCGUGGAUAUUAUAAUGCGAAUGGGAUAAGACUUUCUUAACUUACUAUUUAGCAAACAAAAAAUCACAUAAACAACUUUCACAAACCUAUAGAUGUGACGUCUGCGCGUGCUUAUGGAGAAACGGAACAGUCAAACACGAUUCUAAAUGUACGAACAAUAGUACUAAAGCUAUUAAGAAAAAAGAAAACAAACAAACCCUUUUUAUCCUUCUAAAACAUCCCGUUUCAACCAACGGCAAAGUAAGUGCACCUCAGCACAUACAUAUACAUACAUAAAAACCAAGUGCAGGAACUUAAAGCGAUAGUGUAAAGGGAUGAGAACAUUUACAUAGAUGAUCCGCUCCGUGGUAGUAGCGUGGUAAGGUUAAACGAUGAUUUAAGAAGCGUUUCGAACGAGACUAAAAAAGCAAGAAGACGACAAAAUUAGAAUCGGAACCGAAAUUCGUAACAAUUCCACCCCCCCAGGUGAGGGUGUAAAUUACAUGUUGCUGAAGUUGUUGUAAUGAACAUUUCAAUGUGGUUUUUCCCUUAUGCAUGGCAGAACAGCAGAACGAAGCAUUUAUUCGUGUAUAAUUCGUGUGUACCUACUACAGAACAUGUGGCAAACAUGGAGUAUAAAAAUUCGAUUUCAACCUGCCAAACAGCAGCUGCUGCCACACACAGGCAUUGGGCCGGUGAUGUUGCUGCCUGAUUGGUGUACAUGAUCGUGACACAAACAUACAUCAUCCGCGAAGAAAUUUAGCACAGAAGAAGAAAGAUUAAACUCGUAAUUAGUACAGCGUAUUUGUUUUUUUUUCUACAUUGGAGCUUAACAAGGAACAGAUCCCCGGUAUUUGAGGUGCGGUUUGUAACUGGGAGGGAAAAGAGAAGAGGCAUAUGAACCUUUCCAAUGUAAUACAAAGAAAUACCAUACACAGCAACCAGAGCAGACAGGAGCGAUAAACUAUGGCAGAUAACAGAAAACAAACUAAAGUGAUAAUAUAUGAAUAAAAAUGACAAACAGUAA